This 521-nucleotide ribosomal RNA is filed under the name uncultured soil bacterium. RNAcentral's name for it is "bacterial SSU rRNA". It matches the Rfam family "Bacterial small subunit ribosomal RNA", at positions 8 to 524 of the family's 1533-position model. The record is from RNAcentral.
AGAGUUUGAUCCUGGCUCAGGAUGAACGCUAGCGGCAGGCUUAAUACAUGCAAGUCGUGGGGCAGCGCGGGUAGCAAUACCUGGCGGCGACCGGCAAACGGGUGCGGAACACGUACGCAACCUUCCUUCAAGUGGGGAAUAGCCCAGGGAAACUUGGAUUAAUACCCCGUAAUACUAUGAGGUGGCAUCACCUUAUACUUAUAGCUACGGCGCUUGGAGAUGGGCGUGCGCCUGAUUAGGUAGUUGGCGGGGUAACGGCCCACCAAGCCUACGAUCAGUAACUGGUGUGAGAGCACGACCAGUCACACGGGCACUGAGACACGGGCCCGACUCCUACGGGAGGCAGCAGUAAGGAAUAUUGGGCAAUGGACGCAAGUCUGACCCAGCCAUGCCGCGUGGAGGAUGAAGGUCCUCUGGAUUGUAAACUUCUUUUAUCUGGGAAGAAACCCACGAUUUCUAUUGUGGUUGACGGUACCAGACGAAUAAGCACCGGCUAACUCCGUGCCAGCAGCCGCGGUAAU